CCCCUGGUGGCUCAGAUGGUAAAGUGCCUGUCUGCAACGUAGGAGACCUAGGUUCGAUCCCUGGGUUGGGGGA
Molecule: transfer RNA, 73 nt
Organism: Ovis aries (sheep)
Lineage: Eukaryota; Metazoa; Chordata; Mammalia; Artiodactyla; Bovidae
Rfam family: tRNA
About the family: Transfer RNA (tRNA) molecules are approximately 80 nucleotides in length.
Source: Rfam